This 118-nucleotide small nucleolar RNA is filed under the name Meriones unguiculatus (Mongolian gerbil). Its description in RNAcentral is "Small nucleolar RNA SNORA17 (ENSMUGG00000019073.1)". It matches the Rfam family "Small nucleolar RNA SNORA17". From Rfam's summary of the family: snoRNA ACA 17 belongs to the H/ACA family of snoRNAs and is predicted to guide pseudouridylation of the 28S rRNA at positions U4659 and U4598. It shares the same host gene together with ACA43. Lineage: Eukaryota; Metazoa; Chordata; Mammalia; Rodentia; Muridae. The record is from RNAcentral.
GCUGCCUGGAGACACUGCAGAUGUGGCUGCCAUGUUACAUGUGUGGCAGGGAGGAGGAAGCUGUGUCUGGGCUCAUGCUCUGACCUAUGACCAUUUGAACGAUUAGCAGCCGAACGUU